RNAcentral lists this long non-coding RNA (247 nucleotides) under Elaeis guineensis (African oil palm). RNAcentral describes it as "long non-coding RNA (EGUI_LNC032452)". Lineage: Eukaryota; Viridiplantae; Streptophyta; Magnoliopsida; Arecales; Arecaceae. The record is from RNAcentral.
CUGAAUCUUAAUUAACCAUCCAUUUAGAUGGCUAAAAAUCCAAGAGAAAUCAAAAAUCGACAAGCUAUCAAGCAAGCAUACAAUAACUAAGCUAAAAUUAAGCAAGCAUGCAAUAGAGAAAUCCAAUAUAUCACCAGGAAGCAGAAGUUUUCAUUGAGCUUAGUCAAAUUACAAACUGAUUCAACGUAUAAAUCAAUAGAUAAAUGAAAUAAAAUUGAGAGGGGAAGGGGGGAGAAGGUUCUUUAGG